This 424-nucleotide ribosomal RNA is filed under the name uncultured cyanobacterium. Its description in RNAcentral is "bacterial SSU rRNA". It matches the Rfam family "Bacterial small subunit ribosomal RNA", at positions 356 to 795 of the family's 1533-position model. The record is from RNAcentral. Lineage: Bacteria; Bacillati; Cyanobacteriota.
GGGGAAUUUUCCGCAAUGGGCGAAAGCCUGACGGAGCAAUACCGCGUGAGGGAGGAAGGCUCUUGGGUUGUAAACCUCUUUUCUCAGGGAAUAAGAACUGAAGGUACUUGAGGAAUCAGCAUCGGCUAACUCCGUGCCAGCAGCCGCGGUAAGACGGAGGAUGCAAGCGUUAUCCGGAAUUAUUGGGCGUAAAGCGUCCGUAGGUGGUUAUAAAAGUCUGUUGUUAAAGCCCACAGCUCAACUGUGGAUCGGCAAUGGAAACUGUAUGACUUGAGUGUGGUAGGGGUAGAGGGAAUUCCUAGUGUAGCGGUGAAAUGCGUAGAUAUUAGGAAGAACACCAGUGGCGAAGGCGCUCUACUGGGCCAUAACUGACACUGAUGGACGAAAGCUAGGGGAGCGAAAGGGAUUAGAUACCCCUGUAGUC